Molecule: ribosomal RNA, 52 nt
Filed under: uncultured eukaryote
Lineage: Eukaryota
Description: partial 5.8S ribosomal RNA
Source: RNAcentral
ACAACUUUCAACAACGGAUCUCGUGGCUCUCGCAUCGAUAAAGACCGCACCU